Long non-coding RNA from Acanthopagrus latus (yellowfin seabream), 3665 nucleotides. RefSeq lists it as uncharacterized. The record is from RefSeq and is a predicted model, not a curated record. NCBI's taxonomy places the organism in Eukaryota, Metazoa, Chordata, Actinopteri, Spariformes, Sparidae. The transcript is spliced from 4 exons.
AACGUGUUGGUGGAGAAGGUGGUGUGCUCAGCUAAGAGGCGCACCUUACCACGGCCCUGCAAAGCGAGGAUGUGCUCGCGCUGUCUCUCCUGGCACUGCAGAACGUCCAGCUGGAAGAGGACAGUUGGGGCUAAGGUCUUGAUGCGUCCGGAACUGAAGAUGGAUCUGUAUGAGGGUGACGGACGCUCCACUGACAGAUUUUAAAGGCACUUCAAAGAGAGAAGCACCCCACGUUAAGGACAGCACCCACGACCCUUAAAGCCGGUUCCACCGCCGCCGUCACCGCUGACCUUUAAACAGCUUGAAUUCCGGACACACAACUGACCCAUGUGAUAGUCAAAAUGUGAGUGGAAGCUGAUAAACACAUAACUUAGAAAAUGUUACAUUUAUGUUCAUGUAAUCUAGGCCACAUUUUGUGAUUUUGCAGUAAUCAUUAAGAUAAUAAACCUCAUCUCUGUGAGACCAAAACUAAUGUACAGCAGUCAUUAGUUUGACUGCCUUUAUUGAUGUUAAUUCACUUGUAACAAUUAAUUCCAACUUAAUAUUUGAAUAACUGAACACAGUGUGGAUUCUGUAAUUGCAGAAUGAAUUCAUCCUCAUCAGUCAUCAGGACAUUUUAGGGGCUCAAAUGAUCCAGUUUCUGUCUUUUUACUGCCGCUGAUGGAACUCAUUAUGGAAUCCCACAUAAUAGAAUCCAAUGUUUUUAAAUUGAAUACACAUUUGACUUGUUCCCUCACCCUCUCUGCUAUUUUCUUUGGUUAAAAUCUCAAAUUUGAAAAGAACCAAAUUUUUAUUAUUAAUGUUAAAAUGUAGUUCCAAAUUUAUUCUGUGGUUUCCGACUACUUACUAUCUGAGCUUUGAUCCAGGUCAUAUUCACAUUCUGGCCUCUACAUGCCCCUUUUGAAAUGUAACAACUAAUCUAUAAGGUGACGUUAAUUCUAUCUAAGAUCCCCAGUUCUCCAAAGUUGUUGAUUUGACUUGUUCUAACCUUCAUCCUGAGGAGAAAUUACAUAUAUUUCAUGGGUUCCUUGUUCUCUGGACUUCAAGAAGUGGAAGACCCUGUGAACAAUGCCUGAUGCCAAUAUGCUAAUUCCCCUCAGAUGGCCUUUUCAUCGGCUGAUGCUGACUCCCGUCGACACGUGCCAGAUGACUUUCCCCUCGUCCCACCGUUAAAGACCGCGACCGUGACGAUGGCAAAGGCGACCAUUACCGAGAUAAGAGCAGAUGUAGCCUUAUGCCGGCUGCCUGCUUGCACUGAAUCACAUAUAAUCUUACAACGAGUUCGUCCAUGUAGCAGAGCUGCAGCUGACCACAGCGAGUCAGGCCAGUGGUGGUGGAGAUCAGCAAGUCUUUGCACAAUUGAUUAACAAAAUACUUCAAAAUCCAAAUCCAUUUAUAAGUUUAAUAACUUAUAGACAAUCUUAAUCAGCCACAAAAUAUACAUGUAUUUAGUUAUUUUUUUAUUUAUCCUGACGGCCCCGUUCACAAAAGCAGUACAGAGAGGAACAAAGACAUUUUCUGUCCUGUUUGAAAUCUACCUUGAAUCACACAAACGAUGUUCCAGCUCGGCAAGGCUUUGUUGGUGACUUUUGGUUGUCUAAUUACGUACUUUCACAGUCUUAUACUGUCAACAGUUUUAUGACCAAUGGCUCCUUUCUCAAGUUGAAGGAUGAUCUGCUCAGAUUGCAUUAGGAGGUCAGCAAUCCUGUAGUCUGUGGCAGAUUUGGAGCAGGAAGAAACCUCUUAAGAAUAUUACAUUUUCAUUAGUUCUGUAAGAGGGCAUGAAGCUCUAAUGACCUUGUAUCACUGCACAUCUCUCACACAAUGUCAUUUCAACGGGAGACAUUUCUUUCUUUCUUUCUUUCUUUCUUUCUUUCUUUCUUUCUUUCUUUCUUUCUUUCUUUCUUUCUUCCCUCAUUUGUGUUUGUUGUCUUAUCUCACUCGUACUUCACACUUCUUUUUAAUUUCUCAUGGUUUCUGUUAGAAAACUGAGGAAUCCUGAGUCAAUUUUCCGUCGGGAGAGUUUUUCAAAUUUAUUCUGAUUCUGCAAAUUAUAAAUCAAUUUGAUGCAUUUCAACUUUUAAUAAUGAGACUUUAGUCCACAUAGACAGAUUUCUGUCCUCUUUUAAAAUUACUUAACAAAGUUAAUAGUUGCUCUGAUGUAGAUUCAUGCUUCCAUUUAUUGUUAAAAUGGCUCCACUCAUAUUUCUUAAUUAUCAGUCAAGCUGGGACUGAAGAAGGAAUCCUUGAAUGACAAUUAUAGGUUUAUAGAAAUGAAGCCAAAUUUCAGUUUUACUCAAGAGCUAAUGUUGCCGGCGUUAGCUGCUGUCUGGAACAAAGAAUAAUAUUUAAGGUUGUUCACGUUCGCCGAUGUGUAUGUACGCCAGUGUGCUUGACUUAGUGCGAACAGCAGAUCAGAUCAAUGAAUUAAGCUGCUCAUUAUGAUGGCCUGCUCUUGCUGGUCAUUAAGAAAAAUGCAUGUAGAAUUUGCCACCCAUGCCCCUAUGAAGUGUGUGUAAUUACCACUAAUGUAUCAUCGUCUAUUCAAGAGCGUAACGUUUCGUUUCCGAGGGCCGACAGUGGAACACCUCUGACCCAAAUGUUUUAUUCAUUCAUAAGACACCUAUUAUUCAUUUUAAACUCAUAUUUCAGACGAUGAACAGUUUUUUUUUUUCCGUGAAUACAUAUUUAUAUCCCGUACGCUUCUAACAGUGCGAACAGUUCUUCAUGUGGUUUAAUAUCAUAUUUGUGUUAUUUAAAUGAAAUAUCAUCAUAUCACUUUCAACUCUCUGAAACCUGGGAUUGUUGAAAUAGAUGCAUGAGAAGAGGUCAGCUUGUUCCAAAACUAACCAAUAAACAGACUCAUUAUAUGGUCAGAGUUACUGAACAUCUUCCUUGUCACAAGUCAUCAGUGUUUUCAGCGUAAUUUAUCAGCUAUAUUGAAUCAUUUUAAACGCCUUUAUUUCUGGCUCAGUCUUUGGGAGCGUUGUUGUGUUGCACUAAAGCACAUUUAAAUAUAUAACAAAGCUGCUGUACUGAUGUUAAAAGUAUUUUUCCAAAAUAAAAGUCUCCAGGCUUCAGGUUGAACGUUUUAUUUGGAGAAGAGUCACCAAAUCAUCCGAUGACUGAAUUCUAUUUUUUAUAUUUUCUAAUUAGUAAAAUUAAACUUAACUUCUGCAAAAACAUUUAGGUACGCCGCAUCCCAUCCGACUUACUGACUGCUUUUAUCUUUAAUUGAAGAGAAGCUUUUAGUGAGAUGCCUUAUUCUCAUCGAGUAGAGGAAUUGAUUCAUUUUAAAAAUGAAAUAGUAUCUUUACGAUGUUAGUUAAAACAAACUCAAAAGAUUGUGUCAAAUAUGCACGUCUGGCUGAUACGAAUAAUUUACAAGAGUGGCUGUUUGUAGAAAUUGAACCUGCGUACCAACAUGCCUGAAUAAGCGCGAGGCAUGGGACGAUAUGAUCAUUUCAUGUCCUGUGUAUUCUGUCCAACAUUAUUGUAAUUCAUGGUAUUAUCCUGAUAAUGAUCAAAAUAUAUUCUUAAAACUUUGAGGUAAAAACUAAAAUUGAACUAAAACACACCAGAAUCACUUGAAUCUUACUUUUUGGUUGUAAACAAAUAUUUUUAUUGCAUUACAUAUAGGACACAUCUUGUUUUUUUUUUUUAGG